GCAUCCUGUCCCCCGAGAGCCUCGGUACCACGCCCGGGGCGCCUCACACCAAUGUGCUCAACACACAGUUGCUGAGCACAAACAUGCCUUUGCGUGAUCCAUUGAGCUGCCCUGGAGUGUUGCUUCCUCUUCCGUAAAGUGAAAUCAUUGGACCGAAAGUUUUCUAAGGCAAUCCCAACCUUUCUCCGAGGAGAGGACCGAAGCCCAGAGACAGAGCGUACCGACACUUCACUGGACUCCUGGACUUCCGCAAAGACGGUCUCGUCCGUGGGCGAUUGUCAAAAUCUGUGUUCCUUGCGGGGGAAGAAGGUAGAAAGCGCCUAUCCUGCUAGCUUGGUGACGUCACUCUCCAUGCUCUGCCUCUUGAUCCAGGUGUGGUUACCUGAGGGUAUUCAGUUUGUGACAAACCAUCCCGUGUACGCUUACGAUUUGUGCACUCUUCGUCAUUUCCUUACGUUUGAAUAAAAUCUACAUUAAUGGUG
Neofelis nebulosa (Clouded leopard) is the source of this 482-nucleotide long non-coding RNA. RefSeq lists it as uncharacterized. The record is from RefSeq and is a predicted model, not a curated record. The transcript has 2 exons. Lineage: Eukaryota; Metazoa; Chordata; Mammalia; Carnivora; Felidae.